This 247-nucleotide ribosomal RNA is filed under the name uncultured bacterium. RNAcentral describes it as "partial 16S ribosomal RNA". It matches the Rfam family "Bacterial small subunit ribosomal RNA", at positions 523 to 769 of the family's 1533-position model. The record is from RNAcentral.
AUACGUAGGUGGCAAGCGUUGUCCGGAAUUAUUAGGCGUAAAGGGCGUGUAGGUGGAUUUUUAAGUCGUGUGUCUAAGUGCGGGGCUCAACCCCGUAUAGGCGCAGGAAACUGGAGAUCUUGAGUGCAGGAGAGGAAAGUGGAAUUCCCAGUGUAGCGGUGAAAUGCGUAGAUAUUGGGAGGAACACCAGUGGCGAAGGCGACUUACUGGACUGUAACUGACGCUGAAGCACGAAAGCGUGGGGAGC